AACGAUAGUGAGCAGAAAAGCCUGGGGGUUAUAAUUGAGUAUGUUGCUGGCCAUUUGAUCCUUGUUCCUCAAAAUUUUCGAAAUCUUCCGACCCAGCUCACCGCAAUGGCCUCCUCGCUCACGGCGCAGCUGUCGCAAAUAGCGGCGACCUCGACGCACCAGCUUGAUUUGAAAGCCCAAAGGGUUGCUCACUCGAAAUCUUUGCUGUUUGAACAGAGGAAUGCGGUGUCCCAGAGCUUUGACACCAUUUACCAAAUAUGUUAUGAAGGCUUUCAGGAAUUAUGCGCACUGGAUUCACGGUUUGCGAGAUUCCGGCGUACGAUAUUUAACGAACAGAGCAAGACCGAGGAUAGGCUUGAAAUGAAUGCAGAACAAAAUAAAGAACUAGAUAUUGUUUUGGAGGAAUUCCUGGCACUUGUUGGUAGCCGCCUUCUACUGCAGCCUGCUAUCAAAUCGGUUGAGUGGCUUGUUCGUCGUUUUCGAGUUCACGAGUACAAUACCGAUUUUGUCUUACUCACAUUCCUCCCAUACCACACAACCGACUUAUUCAAGGUACUGCUGUCGAUUCUGCCUGAAAACCUCCCGCCCACUUUCAAAGUUUUAAACCCCUAUAGACGGAGUUUGACCUUGCCACCUCGACAUCCAAUUGUCCAUAGCGCCUCAACGAAUAAACUCUUUUUCUCUGCUCUAAAUAAUUAUGUUUUGCAGGUCAGCAAGGCUCAGGCCCAUUAUCAAGGGCUUCUAUCUUUUUGGGCUGGCGUCACCGCAGAAGCAGUAGCUAACAUGUUGGACGCCGCGAACUCUGGAAGACGAGAGGUGGAAAAAAGGAAUAAGGAA
This 837-nucleotide small RNA is filed under the name Histoplasma capsulatum. RNAcentral's name for it is "hypothetical RNA". Lineage: Eukaryota; Fungi; Ascomycota; Eurotiomycetes; Onygenales; Ajellomycetaceae. RNAcentral also lists the same sequence under 1 other name. The record is from RNAcentral.